UACGUAGGGUGCGAGCGUUGUCCGGAAUUAUUGGGCGUAAAGAGCUUGUAGGCGGUUUGUCGCGUCUGCUGUGAAAAUCCGGGGCUCAACCCCGGACUUGCAGUGGGUACGGGCAGACUAGAGUGUGGUAGGGGAGACUGGAAUUCCGGGUGGAGCGGUGAAAUGCGUAGAGAUCCGGAGGAACACCGACGGCGUAGGCAGCGCCCUGGACGACACCUGACGCUGAGGCACGAAAGCUGGGGGAGCAAACAGG
RNAcentral lists this ribosomal RNA (253 nucleotides) under uncultured bacterium. RNAcentral's name for it is "partial 16S ribosomal RNA". It matches the Rfam family "Bacterial small subunit ribosomal RNA", at positions 524 to 776 of the family's 1533-position model. The record is from RNAcentral.